UUUACAAGUUGGUAACAGCUUGUUCCAAACUUGUUGGCAACUUGGGACAAGCAGUGCGAACACAACUUGUUGACAGCUUGUUGGCAGACUUGUUACACGCGUAAAAUUUAAAAUCUCACAUCUUGUAACAAGUUUGCCAACAAGCCGUCAACAAGUUGUGUUCGCACUUCUUGUCCCAAGUUGCCAACAAGUUUGGAACAAGCUGUUAACAAUUUAUAAC
Non-coding RNA from Paramuricea clavata, 220 nucleotides. The record is from the annotation of a GenBank genome assembly. Lineage: Eukaryota; Metazoa; Cnidaria; Anthozoa; Malacalcyonacea; Plexauridae.